Non-coding RNA from Phalacrocorax carbo (great cormorant), 510 nucleotides. NCBI's taxonomy places the organism in Eukaryota, Metazoa, Chordata, Aves, Suliformes, Phalacrocoracidae. The record is from RefSeq and is a predicted model, not a curated record.
AGCCCCGUGUGAGCGAUGUGCGAGGCCGUGCGAUGGUGUGUGUGAGGCUCGUGUGCGUGUGCGAGGCCGUGCGAGCCCCGUGCGAGCCCCGUGUGACCCCGUGCGAGGCCAUGUGAUGGUGCGUGUGAGGCUCGUGUGCGUGUGUGAGGCCGUCCGAGGUGCGUGCAAGGCUUGUGCAAGCCCCAUGCAAGCCCCGUGCGAGGCCGUGUGAUGGUGCGUGUGAGGCUCGUGUGCGUGUGUGAGGCCGUCCGAGCCCUGUGCGAGGCCGUGUGAGGCCGUGUGAUGGUGCGUGUGAGGCUCGUGUGCGUGCGAGGCUUGUGCAAGCCCCGUGCGAGCCCCGUGCGAGCCCCGUGCGAGGCUGUGCGAGGGUGCGUGUGAGGCUCGUGUGCGUGUGCGAGACCGUGCGAGCCCCGUGCGAUGCCGUGCGAGGCCGUGUGAUGGUGCGUGUGAGGCUCGUGUGAGCGUGUGUGAGGCCGUCCGAGGUGCGUGCGAGGCUUGUGCAAGCCCCGU